CAGGAAAGAGGGGGAACGAUUGCUAUUUGACUCUGUCCUUUGCAGCCAAAAUGUAACAACCAGAAAAUUUUAAAUUACAAGCACUGCAUAUGCAUGUGUGCAUGCUCAGCUGUGUCCGACUCUUUGCGACCCCAUGGACUGUAGCCCACCAGGCGCCUCUGUCUAUAGGAUUUUCCAGGCAAGAAUGCUGGAGUGGGUUGCCAUUUCCUUCUCCAGGGGAUCUUCCCAACCCAGGGGUCAAACCUGAGUCUCUUGAGUCUCCUGCAUUGACAGGUGAAAAACUGAGACCCAGAGACAGAGACUUUGUCAGGGAUCCUGCUACCACUGUCUUCAUCACCAGCAGUUCCCUCCUAAGUGGAAUUCCAUGGAGAGAAAGAUGGUUUACCCCCUCUGGAGCCAGGAAGAAAUCUGGGGCCUCUCUUCUCCUAGCCCAUU
Bos taurus (domestic cattle) is the source of this 435-nucleotide long non-coding RNA. NCBI's taxonomy places the organism in Eukaryota, Metazoa, Chordata, Mammalia, Artiodactyla, Bovidae. The record is from Ensembl.